This 484-nucleotide ribosomal RNA is filed under the name uncultured bacterium. RNAcentral's name for it is "partial 16S ribosomal RNA". It matches the Rfam family "Bacterial small subunit ribosomal RNA", at positions 29 to 507 of the family's 1533-position model. The record is from RNAcentral.
AGUGAACGCUGGCGGCAGGCCUAACACAUGCAAGUCGGGCGGCAGCGCGGGGGCAACCCUGGCGGCGAGCGGCGGACGGGUGAGGAAUUCGUCGGAAUCUGCCUUUUUGUGGGGGAUAACGUAGGGAAACUUACGCUAAUACCGCAUACGUCCUACGGGAGAAAGUGGGGGACCGCAAGGCCUCACGCAGAAAGAUGAGCCGACGACCGAUUAGCUAGUUGGUGGGGUAAAGGCCCACCAAGGCGACGAUCGGUAGCUGGUCUGAGAGGAUGAUCAGCCACACUGGGACUGAGACACGGCCCAGACUCCUACGGGAGGCAGCAGUGGGGAAUAUUGGACAAUGGGCACAAGCCUGAUCCAGCCAUGCCGCGUGUGUGAAGAAGGCCUUCGGGUUGUAAAGCACUUUUGUCCGGAAAGAAAUCCCUGGAGCUAAUACCUUCGGGGGAUGACGGUACCGGAAGAAUAAGCACCGGCUAACUUCGUG